GUGACGGUUCCUCCUGGUUGUCAUCUUGACGGCAUGUAGCAUCAACUGAUGUGCGUGCCUCUGGGCUCGCCUGCCAGGAGUUUUCUUGAUCAGAUUAUUUGAACAGAGAGACCCACCCGAAAUGUGGUGUCAGCCCAGAUAAAAGGAUGUGGUAGAGGAGACUGCUUUUCGAGUGUCUGCCUUCACUCCUCUGGAGAGUCCUUCUGUCCUGUUGCUGUGGUAACCCUUUGGUGAUGUUAGAACCAGCUUCCUCAGGUUCCAACGGAGACAGAAGACAGUUGGCCCUCCAGGAAUGCUCGAGGUCUUCAGCACCGGACUGGAAAUGUUGAGACCUGAAGCCUGGGUGACUGAGCAGCUCUGGGAUUCUCAGCUUCUCCAGGAAGUCAAUCGUGCUCACAGAUCUGACCACUCAGCAUCUGACCCCACAGCAAUCCAGGUUUCCAGACUCCUGAAAGCCAUGUGCAGUGACCGGGCGGUUCUCCCCUGGACAUCCCUUCUCCCUUGUCACCCUCAGCAACAGAAAUCUUGAGUGACUAACCAGUCUUUUUCUCUAAU
This is a long non-coding RNA of Peromyscus eremicus (cactus mouse), 555 nucleotides long. RefSeq lists it as uncharacterized. Lineage: Eukaryota; Metazoa; Chordata; Mammalia; Rodentia; Cricetidae. The record is from RefSeq and is a predicted model, not a curated record. The transcript is spliced from 3 exons.